This 1330-nucleotide long non-coding RNA is filed under the name Sorghum bicolor (sorghum). Its description in RNAcentral is "long non-coding RNA (SBIC_LNC015558)". Lineage: Eukaryota; Viridiplantae; Streptophyta; Magnoliopsida; Poales; Poaceae. The record is from RNAcentral.
AGGUGUGGUGUCAAAUAUGUGACUACUAUCGGCAGUGGAUACAUCUAAGCCGGUAAGCAUGAGCACAUCGGCAAGAGUGGGAGAAGCAGGGCCAUGGCCGAAAACAAAAGCAUUAAGUGUGUGUGACCAGAAAUAUGAUGUAGCAAUCAGCAGUGAUUCAUUCCUAUGCAUGUCAACAAUAGAUAGUCUAAUGCACUGGUCCAGUUUUCGCUCGCCCCAUUGAACUUCAUUUGAAUGACUAACUCUCAAGAACCAAUCCUUCCAUCCCUUGGUAGGACUGGGCCAAGAGCGGAAGGUAUCUUUCCACAGAUCUAGAGAAAAGUUCUCAGCUCUAAAGGAGAUUCUGUUUGUCUCUGCAUUGAUCAGAUCGGUAGGAUCUGGGUUCCCUAGCGGACCGAGACAUUGAAGGUGUGGUUGAUCGGUAGGGAUGACAAUUCUAUUGGACAGAUCCUAAUAGUUUUUGGGGGUAAAAAGAAGAACAAAAGAAAAAAAAGGGUAUUCAGUAAGAUGAACUGCAGAUGAACAGGACUGCAGUAAAAAAACAAGAGAGAAGUAGAACUGACCUCAGGCACGAUGAAGUUGACGGCCAUCUCCUAGUAGGGGAGAAGAUUCAGAACUUGGGGGUUGUUGGAGAAAGUUCUUGUUGAAGUUCUCGGAGCUCUCGAACAGCGCCGCCGCCAGAAAAGCAGAGUUGAGGCUAUAGAAUGAUGCAAUGGAGAAGGAGUACCCGAGAAGGAACUAUUUAUAGGACAAAACGGGCAAGGGAAAAUCUGACUUAUCUCUUCGCCGUAUCCGUGAAAUCCGAGGAUACUCAGGUGGAUAUGGUAACUGUUCGCACGGUAAUCAAGGGAUUGCGCAGGUGAUUUGACAGGAAGUGGUCAUAAUCUGGAGAUAUUUCACUGUGCGGGAUUUCCUGGUCGGUCCAUCGGCAGCUCCUUCUAACGGUAGUAUUGCUGAUGGGCAAAUAAAGUGGAGAUGUCCAGUUUGGGAGGUUGAGGAAUUCGAGGGAUCUGCGGAAGAAUCGGGCUAGAGUUGUUCGAUUUCAACGGUCGGUUACCAGAUUGAGAGGAUUAAUUGCGGAAAGGCAUCAUUACUGCAGAGAAUUUCGGAGCAUUAAUGAUUUUAUACUCCGAAAUUAGGGGGCAUGUGUUGACACCGUUUUUGGACACAUACCCAGGAUCGGUAGAGUAUAAAUCGACAAGAUAGGGCAACAGUAACUGGUCUGCAGGGGAGUUGCCGAUGAAGGGACGGCUGGAUGUGAUUAAGUCUAUGGGUUGUGACGCGUUCAUGCCGAUGGUCAGCGUUAGCCUUGUCGAUGGUUAAGGUGAGG